Molecule: ribosomal RNA, 305 nt
Filed under: uncultured bacterium
Lineage: Bacteria
Description: bacterial SSU rRNA
Rfam family: Bacterial small subunit ribosomal RNA
Source: RNAcentral
CUUAGCCUACGGGGCGCAGCAGUGGGGAAUAUUGCACAAUGGGGGGAACCCUGAUGCAGCGACGCCGCGUGAGUGAAGAAGUAUUUCGGUAUGUAAAGCUCUAUCAGCAGGGAAGAUAAUGACGGUACCUGACUAAGAAGCCCCGGCUAACUACGUGCCAGCAGCCGCGGUAAUACGUAGGGGGCAAGCGUUAUCCGGAUUUACUGGGUGUAAAGGGUGCGUAGGUGGCAGGGCAAGUCAGAUGUGAAAGCCCGGUGCCCAACCCCGGUACUGCAUUUGAACCUGUCCGGCUGUAGUGCAGGUGA